GUGGGGAAUAUUGCGCAAUGGGGGAAACCCUGACGCAGCGACGCCGCGUGAGCGAAGAAGGCCUUAGGGUUGUAAAGCUCUGUUUUAAGGGACGAAUGUCGUGGGGAGUAAUAUGCUCUGCGAAUGACGGUACCUUAAGAGGAAGCCCCGGCUAACUACGUGCCAGCAGCCGCGGUAAGACGUAGGGGGCGAGCGUUGUCCGGAAUUACUGGGCGUAAAGAGCACGUAGGCGGGAACUUAAGUCAGGUGUGAAAGGCCGGGGCUAAACUCCGGGGUUGCACUUGAAACUGGGUUUCUUGAGGGCAGGAGAGGAAAGCAGAAUUCCUGGUGUAGCGGUGAAAUGCGUAGAAAUCAGGAGGAAUACCAGUGGCGAAGGCGGCUUUCUGGACUGACCCUGACGCUGAGGUGCGAAAGCGUGGGUAGCAAACAGGAUUAGAAACCCUGGUAGUCC
RNAcentral lists this ribosomal RNA (451 nucleotides) under uncultured bacterium. RNAcentral describes it as "partial 16S ribosomal RNA". It matches the Rfam family "Bacterial small subunit ribosomal RNA", at positions 354 to 796 of the family's 1533-position model. The record is from RNAcentral.